Molecule: long non-coding RNA, 204 nt
Filed under: Lupinus angustifolius (narrow-leaved blue lupine)
Lineage: Eukaryota; Viridiplantae; Streptophyta; Magnoliopsida; Fabales; Fabaceae
Description: long non-coding RNA (LANG_LNC003356)
Source: RNAcentral
CCCAAUAUAAAAUAACACAAAUCACUUAAUCGAAAACCCCCUACAUGGUGGAAACUAUUCUAGAAUUACACCCACAACUAUGCUACUCCCACAUUGUAUACCUAUUGUCACUCUAAAGUGUCAUGAAAAGAAAGAGGGUGAAGAAGGCCAGAAAUGCUUUAGUAGAGAAUGAUAGAGAGAAAGAAGAAGUUGAGGAAAUGUGCU